Molecule: long non-coding RNA, 2075 nt
Filed under: Mytilus galloprovincialis (Mediterranean mussel)
Lineage: Eukaryota; Metazoa; Mollusca; Bivalvia; Mytilida; Mytilidae
Source: RNAcentral
GAUCAAGUGCCGUCCAUGUUUUGUAUUUAUACAAUUAUUUUGUUGUUUAUAUUGCAUAUUUAUUUGGGUUGAUAUUUUGCACCAUUUAUCCCUAUUUUACAAAAUUUUCCUUUGAUUUUACUGACUGAUAAUUUUCUUUCUCAGCACAGUAGAGUGAUAUGAAUAAUUAUUGCUAGAAACUAAGGGUGCACAUGCCAUUGUCAGAGAAAUUAACAACAUUGUCAUAGGUGAAAUAGCGAUAAACAGAUUAUCAUUUGUCAUCUCAAAUUGAUUGCUUUUCUCACUUUUGCCUUAAAAUCAAUCUUGUUGAAAUGACCAACAAUAGUCAAUAACUUUUGUAUCAGAAAAAAAGCACUGUUGAAUCAUAAAUUUUAAAAUCAGUCACACAAUGUCUGCACUUGUGUGAAAAUUUAUGACAUAAAUAAUGGAAUUGAUACCCUGAAAUUUGUGGUUUAUCCAAUCAAGAUGAACAUUAAAAUUGGAAACACAUCUGGUGAAUUUUACAUUGACAUAUCAUUGUAUGUACAUGUAUUACUAGUCUAUAAAUGUAUUAUGUAAAGCAAGUUUGCAGCAAGUAAUUAAACUUGAAUAAAUGUGUAAUGAGCUGAAAAAUAGUGUAUUGCUUAUGAGUUAGAUAUUAAGUUAUUGAUACAUGCUUGGUCUUCAGUUUUGUGAACUUACACAAUAGCUACACUAGUAAAGAGUACUCAAUCAAUAUGAAAGCAAGACAUUUGAUAGCAAUGCUAAAUUUUUUCUUAUAUCUAGAUAGUUUUGUCAAGUAUUGAAUGUAUUACAGUUUUAUAUAUUUUGAUGUUUACUUAUUUUUUAGUUAUCAUAGAAUUAAAUCGUCUUAUUGGUUUUGAAUUAAAUGAAAAUAUUAUGUCUUUUCAGCAUUGCACAAAUUCAGGGUUGUAGGAACUAAAUCUCAUUAUAUGAAGUAACAUAUUAGCAGGUUAAUAGGAUAAGAAGUUUUUUUUGCGUUAGAAGCAUACUUAUAUGAUAGAUUAAAAUGGCAGUGAUUUAGUUUUUUUAAGUAUAAAUUCUGAACAAGAGGCUGUCACAACGACAGCAAACUGGAUUAAUUAACAUUUAUUUUUGUCCUGGCAAUAUCACAAAAAAAUAACUGAUGAACAGUGAAAGUGAAAAUCGUCAAUAUAAAAUUUGACCUCCAUUUUGUCAUCAGUACCAACAUAUUAAAAUUUGGGAAGCUUUGGUUGAACAGUUCACGAGUAAAUGCACCGACACGACUGAAAAUGCCAUUUUUCAAACUGUUAAGAACCAUAACUCCUGAACAGUAAUAGUCAAAAUCGUCAUUAUUGAACUUGACCUUCAUGUUGUUGUCAGUAAAAACAUUAAAAUUUUUAAAGCUUUGGUUAAACGGUUCAUGAGUAAAUGCACGGACAACAUUUGGUUGCCGCCGGCCCCGACUGCCAGACCUCCGUACAUCUCCAAAUUAAUAAACGACAUUUUUGUCACAAAAAUCCGGUUAAAAACCAAAGUGUUUUAUGAUGUAAAUUGUACGUCAUAGCUAGCAGCUCCAACAGAAAUCUUCAUUUAGAUCACCAUUGUCAUCCAAAAUACAACUGACUGCAAAUUAAAUUGUGAAAUCAAGCAUCUGCACCUAAUGUUUUGUUUUAAUUACAAGUAUUCAUUAUGGGCGGGUAUCAGGAUUUACACUUUAAUGAAUGUGUGGAACAUUGCUAAGUUUUUUAUUUUUUUUAAGCUUUUUGUUUUUUAGGUUUCUAUGGACUUGAAACAGUAGAUUUUCUUAUGUUUGUAAGCUUAAAAUUUUGUUUGAUUUACUGAUUUAGUUUUUUUAAUAUACCUGAAAACAAACAUGACUCAUAUACUUUUCAUGAAUUUUGGUUGUGACAUUGUUAACAUUGAAUGUAUUAGUGCAGCAUAUGAUGAAUACAGGUAAAGCACAAAUCCAAUAAAAUUUAUAUUUUUUCAUCAAUAUCACUUAAGUCAUGUUAGUUGUAUCAAAAUAUUAUUUUGGUAUAAUUUUACUGUUGUGAAUUUUACAAGUUUUAUACUUGAGAUAGUCUGUGAUAUCAAUAUUUAUUAAAAAAAUU